GAUGAACGCUAGCGGCAGGCUUAAUACAUGCAAGUCGUGGGGCAGCAGGAGUAGCAAUACUUGCUGGCGACCGGCAAACGGGUGCGUAACACGUACGCAACCUUCCUACAGGCGGGGAAUAGCCCAGAGAAAUUUGGAUUAAUACCCCAUAAGAUUUUGGAGUGGCAUCACUCUAUUAUUAAAGCUUCGGCACCUGAAGAUGGGCGUGCGGCUGAUUAGGUAGUUGGCGGGGUAACGGCCCACCAAGCCUUCGAUCAGUAGCUGAUGUGAGAGCAUGAUCAGCCACACGGGCACUGAGACACGGGCCCGACUCCUACGGGAGGCAGCAGUAAGGAAUAUUGGUCAAUGGACGAAAGUCUGAACCAGCCAUGCCGCGUGGAGGAUGAAGGUCCUCUGGAUUGUAAACUUCUUUUAUUUGGGACGAAAAAGGGCAUUCUUGCUCACUUGACGGUACCAGAUGAAUAAGCACCGGCUAACUCCGUGCCAGC
Molecule: ribosomal RNA, 488 nt
Filed under: uncultured bacterium
Lineage: Bacteria
Description: bacterial SSU rRNA
Rfam family: Bacterial small subunit ribosomal RNA
Source: RNAcentral